This is a long non-coding RNA of Oncorhynchus tshawytscha (Chinook salmon), 558 nucleotides long. Lineage: Eukaryota; Metazoa; Chordata; Actinopteri; Salmoniformes; Salmonidae. The record is from Ensembl.
GAAAAUCAGACGGUGACCUGCCAUAUCUUCAACCCCGUUCUGAGAGAGACUGUGAGCAACACAACCAUCGUCAGCCCCAGUGAUGUUCAGGAAGGCUUUACUCCCAUCAUUAUCACAAUAGUGAUCAUUGCAGUAUUGAUUCUGUUUUCCAUCGGGGGUUAUUUUGUGUACAAAAAACGUGUGACCAGUAUGUGCUGGCCCUAUAUCAGGUUGUGGAGCCAGAGAUGGUGCUACAGGGCCACCAAUUUUCCACAGGAGCCAGAGAUGGUGCUACAGGAGCCAGAGGUGGGCCAACAGGAGCCCGAGAUGGUGCUACAGGAGCCAGAGAUGGUGCUACAGGAGCCAGAGAUGGGGCCACAGGAGCCAGAGAUGGUGCUACAGGAGCCAGAGGUGGUGCUACAGGAGCCAGAGGUGGUUCUACAGGAGCCAGAGAUGGGGCCACAGGAGCCAGAGGUGGUGCUACAGGAGCCAGAGAUGGGGCUACAGGAGCCAGAGAUGGGGCUACAGGAGCCAGAGAUGGGGCUACAGGAGCCAGAGAUGGGGCUACAGGAGCCAGAG